RNAcentral lists this ribosomal RNA (253 nucleotides) under uncultured bacterium. RNAcentral's name for it is "partial 16S ribosomal RNA". It matches the Rfam family "Bacterial small subunit ribosomal RNA", at positions 524 to 776 of the family's 1533-position model. The record is from RNAcentral.
UACGGGGGGGGCAAGCGUUGUUCGGAAUUACUGGGCGUAAAGGGCGCGCAGGCGGCUCUGAAAGUCAGAUGUGAAAGCCCCGGGCUUAACCUGGGAAUUGCAUUUGAUACUCUGGAGCUUGAGUGUGGGAGAGGAGAGUGGAAUUCCCAGUGUAGAGGUGAAAUUCGUAGAUAUUGGGAAGAACACCGGUGGCGAAGGCGGCUCUCUGGACCACAACUGACGCUGAGGCGCGAAAGCGUGGGGAGCAAACAGG